This 969-nucleotide long non-coding RNA is filed under the name Homo sapiens (human). Its description in RNAcentral is "HSALNT0039565". Lineage: Eukaryota; Metazoa; Chordata; Mammalia; Primates; Hominidae. The record is from RNAcentral.
CUCUAUUUUAACUUAAAUUUCGGGUAUGAUGAUACCUACGCAUUAACAAAGAUAAGGUGUGUGUGUAAGAUACUAGUGACACAGUGGUGAACUAUGAAUAUGUCACUGGACAUCUGGUUCUUGGGAUAUGAUCUUAGAAAGGGUUGCUCAAUUUCUUUGGACCCCCAGGAGCCUUGAACCCAGGUUGGUGGCCUGAUGCCCCUACCACUGGGCCUGUGCCUGCCUUCUCACUGUGAGGGAUUUCCUCCUCUUCGGCUGGCCACCCACCUAUCCUGCUGAGCCCCCUUUGCAAGGGCUUGGAGCGUGAGGGGAGUAGCAGCUUUCCUGGACUUUACCACGUGCUGCAAUUUUCCUUGUAAGAUUGGCUGUUUCCCUCCACGAAGUCUCUGCAGAGCGUGCGCAUUGUGCAGAUGGGUAGUGAGAGAGGCUGGGAUGACGUCUCACCCCUGCACCAGCGGGCUGUCUUGCCAUCACUGCAGACACAGCAGCAUCUCCACUCCUUCCUGCCCGUCCUUGCCUGGGGGUUGGUGGACUGGCAUUCACUGCUGGAGGGGAGCUGCCUCAUUAUCAGAUAACAAGUUUAAAAUGACAAGAAUUUGUUUUUCUCAUGGAAACAAUGGACAGCUGCGUGGGGGCAGUGCGUGAGAGGUUCUUUUGUGAGAGGGGCUUCCUGAAACUUGACCUUGGUUUUUCCGCCCAUCCAUGGGGAAAUGGGCAGUGAAGGCUUGGAGGAAGAGGACUGGGACCUGCAGUACCUCUAUGCCUCCAUGCUCUCCAUCCUCUGUGUCUGGGCCAGGCUGGCGCCAACUGGAAUACCACUCUAGGAGCCCUUCUCCUCUUGCUCCUUCCAGGCCCGGCCAGGGAGCUGGAGUCCCAUGUGGCUCAGGCCCCACUUGAACAUGGCCGCUCUCCAUGGGGUUGGCCCCGAGCAGCUCCCUCGGCGUGGGGGCUCUGGCGCCUCUCCACCUG